AGUGAACGCUGGCGGUAGGCCUAACACAUGCAAGUCGAACGGCAGCACAGUAAGAGCUUGCUCUUACGGGUGGCGAGUGGCGGACGGGUGAGGAAUACAUCGGAAUCUACUUUUUCGUGGGGGAUAACGUAGGUAAACUUACUCUCAUACCGCAUACGACCUACGGUUGAAAGCAGGGGAUCUUCGGACCUUGCGCGAUUGAAUUAGCCGAUGUCGGAUUAGCUAGUUGGCGGGGUAAAGGCCCACCAAGGCGACGAUCCGUAGCUGGUCUGAGAGAAUGAUAAGCCACACUGGAAAUGAGACACGGUCCAGACGACUAAGGGAGGCAGCAGUGGGGAAUAUUGGACAAUGGGCGCAAGCCUGAUCCAGCCAGACCGCGUGGGUGAAAAAGGCGUUCGGGUUGUAAAGACCUUUUGUUGGGAAAGAAAAGCAGCAGGUUAAUACCCAGCUGUUCUGACGGUACCCAAAGAAUAAGCACCGGCUAACUUCGUG
RNAcentral lists this ribosomal RNA (492 nucleotides) under uncultured bacterium. Its description in RNAcentral is "partial 16S ribosomal RNA". It matches the Rfam family "Bacterial small subunit ribosomal RNA", at positions 29 to 507 of the family's 1533-position model. The record is from RNAcentral.